RNAcentral lists this ribosomal RNA (196 nucleotides) under uncultured bacterium. RNAcentral describes it as "partial 16S ribosomal RNA". It matches the Rfam family "Bacterial small subunit ribosomal RNA", at positions 326 to 539 of the family's 1533-position model. The record is from RNAcentral.
ACGCUCGACACCUACGGGCAGCAGUGGGGAAUAUUGCACAAUGGGGGAAACCCUGAUGCAGCGACGCCGCGUGAGCGAAGAAGUAUUUCGGUAUGUAAAGCUCUAUCAGCAGGGAAGAAACUGACGGUACCUGACUAAGAAGCACCGGCUAAAUACGUGCCAGCAGCCGCGGUAAUCUGAGGCGGGCUGGCAAGGC